Molecule: unclassified non-coding RNA, 431 nt
Filed under: Prangos sp. 2 DL-2018
Lineage: Eukaryota; Viridiplantae; Streptophyta; Magnoliopsida; Apiales; Apiaceae
Description: partial external transcribed spacer
Source: RNAcentral
ACCAGGUAGCAUUCCUCUUUGCCGCCGACACCGCAUGAGUAACAGGACAAAUAUCGUCCUGGAGUCAACACGGGGCACGCCAGGCUUUUGUAAGGGACAAUUGAUUCGGGCAAAAAGGGGACAAGGACCCCGACCGAUCAUGCUUCUACAUACAAGACUUCGAGCGACACUUGGGCGUCCGACACCUGCAAGCUACAUAGGCAAAGCAAGGGCGGACGUCCAUGGAAGCUUCAGUGUCUACAUCGCACAAAACAUUUUGGCACGAGAUAGAAUAGGGACCGUGGGACUAGACAAUUCCGAAAAAUAGGUAUGCUACACAGGGGGCCAAGACGAUCCAAGGCAAAAUAUUUAGCGCGCUCGGACAGAAUUGAACAGGUGUGAACCAGCGGUUGUCGCUACCGGGGCAGGGAACCAACCGACCGGAACAUACC